AACGUUACAUAGUAUUACGUUAUAACGUAUAACGUCAUAUGGUAUUACGUUAUAACGUAUAACGUUAUAUAGUAUUACGAUGUAACGUACAACGUUAUAAACCAUUACUAUACAACGUGUAACGUUAUAUAGUAUUACGAUAAAACGUAUAACGUUAUAUAGUAUUACGUCAUAACGUACAACGUUAUAAACUAUUACUAUAUAACGUGAAACGUUAUAUAGUAUUACGUUAUAACGUAUAACAUUGUAUGGUAUUACGUUAUAACGUAUAACGUUAUAUACUAUUACGAUGUAUCGUAAAUAUACUAUUACUAUACAACGUGUAACGUUAUAUAGUAUUACGUUAUAUAGUAUUACUAUACAAUGUGUAACGUUACAUAGUAUUAUGUUGUAACGUAUAACGUUAUAUGGUAUUAC
RNAcentral lists this unclassified non-coding RNA (417 nucleotides) under Bombus terrestris (buff-tailed bumblebee). RNAcentral describes it as "misc RNA ENSBTSG00005035148.1". The record is from RNAcentral. Lineage: Eukaryota; Metazoa; Arthropoda; Insecta; Hymenoptera; Apidae.